CUCAAACUUUUCACCAAUUCUGACAUCUAAACAACUAAUGCCAGAGACAGGCUCUGUGGAACCAGCAGCUGCGACCUCACCUCCGGUCCCCAAAACACUGAGUUGUUAAACGAAAG
RNAcentral lists this long non-coding RNA (116 nucleotides) under Pongo abelii (Sumatran orangutan). RNAcentral describes it as "lincRNA". The record is from RNAcentral. Lineage: Eukaryota; Metazoa; Chordata; Mammalia; Primates; Hominidae.